GUCUCGGUGGCGUAGUGGUUAGCGCACGAGCCCGGUUAGGAGUGUGACGCGGGUUCGAAUCCCGCCUGAGAUG
Nippostrongylus brasiliensis is the source of this 73-nucleotide non-coding RNA. Lineage: Eukaryota; Metazoa; Nematoda; Chromadorea; Rhabditida; Heligmosomidae. The record is from Rfam.